GGGCCCGUCGUCUAGCGGUUAGGAUGCCACCCUGUCAAGGUGGAGGUCGCGGGUUCGAAUCCCGUCGGGCCCG
RNAcentral lists this transfer RNA (73 nucleotides) under Chloroflexus aurantiacus J-10-fl. It matches the Rfam family "tRNA". Rfam says of the family: Transfer RNA (tRNA) molecules are approximately 80 nucleotides in length. Their secondary structure includes four short double-helical elements and three loops (D, anti-codon, and T loops). The record is from Rfam by way of RNAcentral. Lineage: Bacteria; Bacillati; Chloroflexota; Chloroflexia; Chloroflexales; Chloroflexaceae.